GACGAACGCUGGCGGCGUGCUUAACACAUGCAAGUCGAACGGAAAGGCCCUGCUUUUGUGGGGUGCUCGAGUGGCGAACGGGUGAGUAACACGUGAGUAACCUGCCCUUGACUUUGGGAUAACUUCAGGAAACUGGGGCUAAUACCGGAUAGGAGCUCCUGCUGCAUGGUGGGGGUUGGAAAGUUUCGGCGGUUGGGGAUGGACUCGCGGCUUAUCAGCUUGCUGGUGGGGUAGUGGCUUACCAAGGCUUUGACGGGUAGCCGGCCUGAGAGGGUGGCCGGCCACAUUGGGACUGAGAUACGGCCCAGACUCCUACGGGAGGCAGCAGUGGGGAAUAUUGCACAAUGGGCGGAAGCCUGAUGCAGCAACGCCGCGUGCGGGAUGACGGCCUUCGGGUUGUAAACCGCUUUCGCCUGUGACGAAGCGUGAGUGACGGUAAUGGGUAAAGAAGCACCGGCUAACUACGUG
RNAcentral lists this ribosomal RNA (468 nucleotides) under uncultured bacterium. RNAcentral describes it as "partial 16S ribosomal RNA". It matches the Rfam family "Bacterial small subunit ribosomal RNA", at positions 28 to 507 of the family's 1533-position model. The record is from RNAcentral.